RNAcentral lists this long non-coding RNA (205 nucleotides) under Carica papaya (papaya). RNAcentral's name for it is "long non-coding RNA (CPAP_LNC002436)". The record is from RNAcentral. Lineage: Eukaryota; Viridiplantae; Streptophyta; Magnoliopsida; Brassicales; Caricaceae.
UCUUUAAGCGUCCCCUUCGCCGUCUUCCUGCGGAACGGGCUCGGGAACAACGUCUUCCUGAUCUGAAAUGGUCAUAUAAGGGAUGAGCUACACCAGCCCAGUAAAGACAUCACACUAUCUCACCGUCACGGAAGUAAAGGUGGGUAGAAAACAAAAAUGACCAAUGGAGCAUAAUUUAUAACGAACUCGUUUAUUAACAUAAAAA